Equus caballus (horse) is the source of this 1040-nucleotide long non-coding RNA. RefSeq lists it as uncharacterized. NCBI's taxonomy places the organism in Eukaryota, Metazoa, Chordata, Mammalia, Perissodactyla, Equidae. The record is from RefSeq and is a predicted model, not a curated record.
UAACCAGUAGAGAAAAUGUGUCUUACUCAAAUAUAUAUUUUAUACUUCAAGAAAUCUCUGGUGCAAGAAAUAAUAUGACCCUAAAUCAGCCAUUUUUAUAUGUGGUCAUACUUAUUCAUAUACAUUGUGUUCAACACAUUCUUUGUGAAACAUAAGGUAAAAUGUCUGUCAUUCCUUAUUAGAAGCUUUGAGCAGUAAAAUGCAAGGUAUUUCAAUCCCCCAUUGAAUAUCCCAUAAUAUUCAUGUGUCCCUCAGGGGACAGUCAAUAUCAUGGCCCAUAGACCAAUAAAUGACUCACUUCUGGGUAGAUCUAAAAAGUAAAGCCUAGCUAAGGGGUAGUCCAGGCCUGCGAACAAAUCUCUGGUUUAGUUACCAACGGAGGGUCUACUGGCCCAGGAGAUCACAGCUCGCUUGGGAGACUUCCAAAGUAAGGGGCUUGCAGGGAGGUGGAAGAGAGGAAGGCUUAGCCAGAAUUCUAUGGUGAAACUGGAACCUCAGGAAGAGGCCUACAGAGAAUGGUGGAAGCCUGAGGAUUACCACUCUAAAAUAGCCAUUCUGUAUAGAACACUAGCAGAUUCCAGGAGGCGAAGCAUGUGUCCGUAUCAAAGCAACGGCCAUUUUACAUUUCUGAGAAGGACCAGCAGCCAAGGCCAGUGUCCUGACCUUCUUAGGAGACUUGCAUUCUUGCUCCCUAUCAGAACUCCCUCCAAAAGUGCUAAGAACCAACCAACUAUAGCACAAUGGACAUAAUCUUUGGAUCUGACCAUUCUUCAGUUGUUGCAUAGUACUAAGGAGAACGUUCCUUCAGAGACAAAGAGCUUUGGUUUUUCCCCUCCCUCAUUUCUACCAGCCAAAGUUCACAUCUGCUUCAGCAUUCAAUCUGUUGCGAUGUUUCAACUGAAGGAUGUGAGGGAAAUCUGGCCUCACAGAGAUAUGUAGUUGGAAAAUGAAAGAGUAACUGUGAAUAUUCUUCUUUGAUAUCACACCAAAACUCGACAAGUACAGCUUCUUAAAGGUAAGCUGCAAUGUGGACUCUAAAG